Zingiber officinale is the source of this 1490-nucleotide long non-coding RNA. RefSeq lists it as uncharacterized. The record is from RefSeq and is a predicted model, not a curated record. The transcript is spliced from 2 exons. NCBI's taxonomy places the organism in Eukaryota, Viridiplantae, Streptophyta, Magnoliopsida, Zingiberales, Zingiberaceae.
UUAUAUGCUCGACAGGGAAAGGGAGGAGGGUGGCUAUAAAGGGCGCAUUAAAGGCGGCCGUGAGUGGCUUCUGCACGCAGUGCUCUGGUGCGCGGCCAUCGAAGGUCUUGUCAAGCAAUUUCUACGGCGUCGACGUCAGAGUGAUGCCCCCCAAAAGUGCAAAUGCACCCAACCAAGAAAACGUAAAAUAAAGAGAGGAAGAAGUAAACAAAAUAAGGCUUACUAAUCGCGGCGAGGACGGCGAAGGUGAUGAUGAGUAGGAGCUGAGCGACGACUACGGCAGGCGCACGAGAAGUCCACGCGCACACGCAAUGGCGAGUGCUCGCUGUCAGAGGAAGUUCAAUUCACGCUGGUAGCGAGGCGUGGGGAAAAGGACAGUGGCGAGCAGCGAGAGUGAUCAUGGACGAGAUUGGUUCUUCCUUUUCCCGGAUUUAUGUCGAUAGCAACAACGCGCCGCGAAAAGAAAGGGAAGACGAAGAAAAAGCCUAUUUACUCUCCGACGCCUUUAUUCUUUUGAAACGCCCAAGAAAAAGAAGAGAGAGGAAAGGAAGAGAGCUCUUCAAUUCUACUCAACGCCUACUGCUAUCAUUCAUCACCAAACUUAGGGCGUGGCUUGGGUUUCUUCGGGGUGACAAUGACAUCUGCCAUCCUGUAAAGAUACGCCUCUCUAAUAAUGAAGACACUACCACAGAGCCUGUACCAACAUCUACACUGGCCGUGAACUAGCGACCAAACCGCCAUUAACGUGCCUGUUCUGUUCUUAUGUCUAGCAGAGAAGAUGUAGACUACUAGCUAAAGAAAGCAGCAAACUUUACGACAUCGUGUAAAAACUAAAGCCAAAAGUUGCAAUCUUAACCAGUAAAUUAGCACAAAUAAGACGGAAAGCAAACCUCUGCCUCUGUGAGCAGAAAACAGCCGCUGUUGUUGUUGUUGCUGCUUCUGCUGCUGCUGCUGCUCGUGCACUGUUGAAGAUAUAUAGGAAGGGAAGGAAACGGAUCUAAUGGAAGAAAAAGAGGCUCCUUUCGAGGCGAAAGGGAGUGCGUGCGCGCCCCUGCGCUCGCAUUCUAUAAUCUCUUCAACUUGCUGAGUGCGAUUAUUAAAAAAGCAGAGCCCAUCACAUCCGUCCGCCGACGCCAAAUCUGUAUCUCGCCUCCUCCCUUCUCAACACAUGGACGUGGUCUUCAAUUGGCGAUCCGCUCUAGAGAUGGACGAUGGAAUGGAUGGGGAGAUAAAGAAAGCGAGGAGGAGAGAGAGGAAGGGAAGCGGUCAUACCGAGGCAGCGAGCGCAGAGAAUGUCCGUGGAAAAGAGGGACGAAGACCAUGCGCCUAGAUAAAGCGGAGAGAAGAGGGAGGAAGGGUGAAGGAAGAUAGCGAUGGCAGCGAGUAGAGCGCAGGAGUUUGGCUCUCAAAAGCAGGGCAAAGCCAUGGCUUCCUUUGGAGGUUGGUGACGAUGCGUGCGUGCUUUUAAAUAGACUUAGACUCUUGAGGUA